This 305-nucleotide ribosomal RNA is filed under the name uncultured bacterium. Its description in RNAcentral is "bacterial SSU rRNA". It matches the Rfam family "Bacterial small subunit ribosomal RNA", at positions 338 to 658 of the family's 1533-position model. The record is from RNAcentral.
CCUACGGGAGGCAGCAGUGGGGAAUAUUGGGCAAUGGGCGCAAGCCUGACCCAGCAACGCCGCGUGAAGGAAGAAGGCUUUCGGGUUGUAAACUUCUUUUAAGAGGGAAGAGCAGAAGACGGUACCUCUUGAAUAAGCCACGGCUAACUACGUGCCAGCAGCCGCGGUAAUACGUAGGUGGCAAGCGUUGUCCGGAUUUACUGGGUGUAAAGGGCGUGCAGCCGGGAAGACAAGUCAGAUGUGAAAACCAUGGGCUCAACCUGUGGCCUGCAUUUGAAACUGUUUUUCUUGAGUACUGGAGAGGC